GACGAACGCUGGCGGCGUGCCUAAUACAUGCAAGUUGAGCGCUGAAGGUUGGUACUUGUACCAACUGGAUGAGCAGCGAACGGGUGAGUAACGCGUGGGGAAUCUGCCUUUGAGCGGGGGACAACAUUUGGAAACGAAUGCUAAUACCGCAUAAAAACUUUAAACACAAGUUUUAAGUUUGAAAGAUGCAAUUGCAUCACUCAAAGAUGAUCCCGCGUUGUAUUAGCUAGUUGGUGAGGUAAAGGCUCACCAAGGCGAUGAUACAUAGCCGACCUGAGAGGGUGAUCGGCCACAUUGGGACUGAGACACGGCCCAAGCUCCUACGGGAGGCAGCAGUAGGGAAUCUUCGGCAAUAGACGAAAGUCUGACCGAGCAACGCCGCGUGAGGGAAGAAGGUUGUCGGAUCGUAAAACUCUGUUGGUAGAGAAGAACGUUGGUGAGAGUGGAAAGCUCAUCAAGUGACGGUAACUACCCAGAAAGGGACGGCUAACUACGUG
Molecule: ribosomal RNA, 497 nt
Filed under: uncultured bacterium
Lineage: Bacteria
Description: partial 16S ribosomal RNA
Rfam family: Bacterial small subunit ribosomal RNA
Source: RNAcentral